RNAcentral lists this ribosomal RNA (609 nucleotides) under Rhodotorula mucilaginosa. RNAcentral describes it as "eukaryotic LSU rRNA". The stretch from base 188 to 341 matches the Rfam family "5.8S ribosomal RNA". The record is from RNAcentral. Lineage: Eukaryota; Fungi; Basidiomycota; Microbotryomycetes; Sporidiobolales; Sporidiobolaceae.
GGUUUCCGUAGGUGAACCUGCGGAAGGAUCAUUAGUGAAUAUAGGACGUCCAACUUAACUUGGAGUCCGAACUCUCACUUUCUAACCCUGUGCACUUGUUUGGGAUAGUAACUCUCGCAAGAGAGCGAACUCCUAUUCACUUAUAAACACAAAGUCUAUGAAUGUAUUAAAUUUUAUAACAAAAUAAAACUUUCAACAACGGAUCUCUUGGCUCUCGCAUCGAUGAAGAACGCAGCGAAAUGCGAUAAGUAAUGUGAAUUGCAGAAUUCAGUGAAUCAUCGAAUCUUUGAACGCACCUUGCGCUCCAUGGUAUUCCGUGGAGCAUGCCUGUUUGAGUGUCAUGAAUACUUCAACCCUCCUCUUUCUUAAUGAUUGAAGAGGUGUUUGGUUUCUGAGCGCUGCUGGCCUUUACGGUCUAGCUCGUUCGUAAUGCAUUAGCAUCCGCAAUCGAACUUCGGAUUGACUUGGCGUAAUAGACUAUUCGCUGAGGAAUUCUAGUCUUCGGACUAGAGCCGGGUUGGGUUAAAGGAAGCUUCUAAUCAGAAUGUCUACAUUUUAAGAUUAGAUCUCAAAUCAGGUAGGACUACCCGCUGAACUUAAGCAUAUCAA